This 2458-nucleotide ribosomal RNA is filed under the name human gut metagenome. RNAcentral's name for it is "bacterial LSU rRNA". It matches the Rfam family "Bacterial large subunit ribosomal RNA", at positions 3 to 2464 of the family's 2925-position model. The record is from RNAcentral.
UUAAGUUAUUAAGGGCGCACGGUGGAUGCCUUGGCACUAGAAGCCGAUGAAGGACGUUACUAACGACGAUAUGCUUUGGGUAGCUGUAAGUAAGCGUUGAUCCAGAGAUUUCCGAAUGGGGGAACCCAGCAUGAGUUAUGUCAUGUUAUCGACAUGUGAAUUCAUAGCAUGUCAGAAGGCAGACCCGGAGAACUGAAACAUCUUAGUACCCGGAGGAAGAGAAAGAAAAAUCGAUUCCCUGAGUAGCGGCGAGCGAAACGGGAAGAGCCCAAACCAACAAGCUUGCUUGUUGGGGUUGUAGGACUCCAAUAUGGUAGUCUGUUAGUAUAGUUGAAGGAUUUGGAAAAUUCCGCUAAAGAGGGUGAAAGCCCCGUAGACGAAAUGCUAACAACACCUAGGAGGAUCCUGAGUACGGCGGAACACGAGAAAUUCCGUCGGAAUCCGCGGGGACCAUCCCGCAAGGCUAAAUACUCCCUAGUGACCGAUAGUGAACCAGUACCGUGAGGGAAAGGUGAAAAGCACCCCGGAAGGGGAGUGAAAUAGAUCCUGAAACCGUGUGCCUACAACAAGUCAAAGCUCGUUAAUGAGUGAUGGCGUGCCUUUUGUAGAAUGAACCGGCGAGUUACGAUUGCAUGCGAGGUUAAGUCGAAGAGACGGAGCCGCAGCGAAAGCGAGUCUGAAUAGGGCGAAUGAGUAUGUAGUCGUAGACCCGAAACCAUGUGAUCUACCCAUGUCCAGGUUGAAGGUGCGGUAAAACGCACUGGAGGACCGAACCCACGUACGUUGAAAAGUGCGGGGAUGAGGUGUGGGUAGCGGAGAAAUUCCAAACGAACUUGGAGAUAGCUGGUUCUCUCCGAAAUAGCUUUAGGGCUAGCCUCGGAAUUGAGAAUGAUGGAGGUAGAGCACUGUUUGGACUAGGGGCCCAUCUCGGGUUACCGAAUUCAGAUAAACUCCGAAUGCCAUUCAUUUAUAUCCGGGAGUCAGACUGCGAGUGAUAAGAUCCGUAGUCGAAAGGGAAACAGCCCAGACCACCAGCUAAGGUCCCAAAAUAUAUGUUAAGUGGAAAAGGAUGUGGGGUUGCACAGACAACUAGGAUGUUGGCUUAGAAGCAGCCACCAUUUAAAGAGUGCGUAAUAGCUCACUAGUCGAGUGACCCUGCGCCGAAAAUGUACCGGGGCUAAACAUAUUACCGAAGCUGUGGAUUGUCCUUUGGACAAUGGUAGGAGAGCGUUCUAAGGGCGUCGAAGCAUGAUCGCAAGGACAUGUGGAGCGCUUAGAAGUGAGAAUGCCGGUGUGAGUAGCGAAAGACGGGUGAGAAUCCCGUCCACCGAUUGACUAAGGUUUCCAGAGGAAGGCUCGUCCGCUCUGGGUUAGUCGGGUCCUAAGCUGAGGCCGACAGGCGUAGGCGAUGGAUAACAGGUUGAUAUUCCUGUACCACCUAGUAUCGUUUUAAUCGAUGGGGGGACGCAGUAGGAUAGGCGAAGCGUGCUGUUGGAGUGCACGUCCAAGCAGUAAGGCUGAGUGUUAGGCAAAUCCGGCACUCAUAAGGCUGAGCUGUGAUGGGGAGAGGAAAUUGUUUCCUCGAGUCGUUGAUUUCACACUGCCGAGAAAAGCCUCUAGAUAGAUAACAGGUGCCCGUACCGCAAACCGACACAGGUAGUCAAGAUGAGAAUUCUAAGGUGAGCGAGCGAACUCUCGUUAAGGAACUCGGCAAAAUGACCCCGUAACUUCGGGAGAAGGGGUGCUCUUUAGGGUUCACGCCCAGAAGAGCCGCAGUGAAUAGGCCCAAGCGACUGUUUAUCAAAAACACAGGUCUCUGCUAAACCGUAAGGUGAUGUAUAGGGGCUGACGCCUGCCCGGUGCUGGAAGGUUAAGAGGAGUGGUUAGCUUCUGCGAAGCUACGAAUCGAAGCCCCAGUAAACGGCGGCCGUAACUAUAACGGUCCUAAGGUAGCGAAAUUCCUUGUCGGGUAAGUUCCGACCCGCACGAAAGGCGUAACGAUUUGGGCACUGUCUCAACGAGAGACUCGGUGAAAUCAUAGUACCUGUGAAGAUGCAGGUUACCCGCGACAGGACGGAAAGACCCCGUGGAGCUUUACUGUAGCCUGAUAUUGAAAUUCGGCACAGCUUGUACAGGAUAGGUAGGAGCCUUUGAAACGUGAGCGCUAGCUUACGUGGAGGCGUUGGUGGGAUACUACCCUAGCUGUGUUGGCUUUCUAACCCGCACCACUUAUCGUGGUGGGAGACAGUGUCAGGCGGGCAGUUUGACUGGGGCGGUCGCCUCCUAAAAGGUAACGGAGGCGCUCAAAGGUUCCCUCAGAAUGGUUGGAAAUCAUUCAUAGAGUGUAAAGGCAUAAGGGAGCUUGACUGCGAGACCUACAAGUCGAGCAGGGUCGAAAGACGGACUUAGUGAUCCGGUGGUUCCGCAUGGAAGGGCCAUCGCUCAACGGAUAAAAGCU